Molecule: transfer RNA, 68 nt
Filed under: Atlantibacter subterraneus
Lineage: Bacteria; Pseudomonadati; Pseudomonadota; Gammaproteobacteria; Enterobacterales; Enterobacteriaceae
Description: Atlantibacter subterranea tRNA-Val
Rfam family: tRNA
About the family: Transfer RNA (tRNA) molecules are approximately 80 nucleotides in length. Their secondary structure includes four short double-helical elements and three loops (D, anti-codon, and T loops).
Source: RNAcentral
GCGUUCGUAGCUCAGUUGGUUAGAGCACCACCUUGACAUGGUGGGGGUCGUUGGUUCGAGUCCAAUCG